This 342-nucleotide ribosomal RNA is filed under the name Triticum aestivum (bread wheat). RNAcentral's name for it is "partial small subunit ribosomal RNA". Lineage: Eukaryota; Viridiplantae; Streptophyta; Magnoliopsida; Poales; Poaceae. The record is from RNAcentral.
AUGAAGCAAAAGAUGGUGAUCAGGGUGCACAUGACCUGCGACAAAUGCCGGUCCAAGGCAAUGGGCUUGGUGGCCUCCAUAUACGGAGUGGAGCGUGUGGAGAUACAAGGCGAUGACAGGGACCGGCUGGCGGUGGUCGGAGAUGGGGUGGACGCCGCCAACCUGACGGCCUGCCUGCGGAAGAAGGUCGGGAACGCGGACCUCCUCACGGUGGAGGCGGUCGUUCCCGAGAAGAAGCCGGCACCGGCAUCGGAGGCCACCGAGGCUCCGUGGUAUCCCGGCUACUACUCCUGGCCGGCAGGGGCCUACUCCCACUGCUAUCCGUACACGUACAGCAUGUAA